RNAcentral lists this ribosomal RNA (505 nucleotides) under uncultured bacterium. RNAcentral's name for it is "partial 16S ribosomal RNA". It matches the Rfam family "Bacterial small subunit ribosomal RNA", at positions 28 to 523 of the family's 1533-position model. The record is from RNAcentral.
GAUGAACGCUAGCUACAGGCUUAACACAUGCAAGUCGAGGGGUAACGAGAGGGAAGCUUGCUUUCCUUGUCGACGACCGGCGCACGGGUGUGUAACGCGUAUCCAACCUGCCCCCAACUAGGGAAUAACCUUGCGAAAGUAAGACUAAUACCCUAUAAUUUCCUCAGAUGACAUCUGACGAGGAAUAAAGAUUUAUCGGUUGUGGAUGGGGAUGCGUCUGAUUAGCUUGUUGGCGGGGUAACGGCCCACCAAGGCAACGAUCAGUAGGGGUUCUGGGAGGAAGGUCCCCUACAGUGGAACUGAGACACGGUACAAACUCCUACGGGAGGCAGCAGUGAGGAAUAUUGGUCAAUGGGCGGAAGCCUGAACCAGCCUAAUAGCGUGCAGGAUGACGGCACUAUGGGUUGUAAACUGCUUUUAUACAGGAAUAAAGUUAGCCACGUGUGGUUAUUUGUAGGUACUGUAUGAAUAAGGACCGGCUAUUCCGUGCCAGCCGCCGCCGUAA